RNAcentral lists this ribosomal RNA (487 nucleotides) under uncultured bacterium. Its description in RNAcentral is "bacterial SSU rRNA". It matches the Rfam family "Bacterial small subunit ribosomal RNA", at positions 28 to 507 of the family's 1533-position model. The record is from RNAcentral.
GAUGAACGCUAGCGGGAGGCUUAACACAUGCAAGUCGAGGGGCAGCAUAGGGUAGCAAUACUCUGAUGGCGACCGGCAAACGGGUGAGUAACGCGUAUGCAACCUACCCUGUACAGGGGGAUAACCCGGAGAAAUUCGGACUAAUAUCCCGUAAUAAUAUCCGGAGGCAUCUUUGGAUAUUUAAAGUUCCGACGGUACGGGAUGGGCAUGCGUAACAUUAACUGGUUGGUAAGGUAACGGCUUACCAAGGCUAUGAUGUUUAGGGGUCCUGAGAGGGUGGUCCCCCACACUGGUACUGAGACACGGACCAGACUCCUACGGGAGGCAGCAGCGAGGAAUAUUGGUCAAUGGGCGCAAGCCUGAACCAGCCAUCCCGCGUGCAGGAAGACGGCCCUAUGGGUUGUAAACUGCUUUUCCAGGGAGAGAAACUUACGCACGUGUUGCGUGACUGACGGUACCCUGGGAAUAAGCAUCGGCUAACUCCGUG